Molecule: long non-coding RNA, 341 nt
Organism: Sander lucioperca (pikeperch)
Lineage: Eukaryota; Metazoa; Chordata; Actinopteri; Perciformes; Percidae
Exons: 3
Source: RefSeq, a predicted model, not a curated record
CGCCCCGGCUGCGCCCAGUAUUUGGGGCGAGAGUCCGUCGAAGUUCGUGACCAAACCGAGCCGAGUGUUCGCCAAGCCCGGAGAGACCGCCAAGUUCAACGCCAAAACCACGGGCCGGCCCCCACCCCAGGUCACAUGGUACAAGGGGGAGGCGGAGCUUCAGUCUAGUGGGCGGGUCAGUGUGUACGAGCGCUCCGGCCUUCACUUCCUGGAGAUAAAGGAAGUGAGCUCGGAGGACGCAGGAAGUUACACAUGUUUUGUCAGCAACAACGCCGGAACGGCUACUGCCACGUCCACGCUCACCGUCCAGGGUGUUCCUGAUGACUCGUCCAGGUGAGACG